UCUGACACAGGUGCUGCAUGGCUGUCGUCAGCUCGUGUCGUGAGAUGUUGGGUUAAGUCCGUAACGAGCGCAACCCUUGUCCUUAGUUACCAGCACGUUAUGGUGGGCGACUCUAAGGAGGACUGCCGGUGGACAAACCGGAGGAAGGUGGGGAGUGACGUCAAGUCAUCAUGGCCCUUACGGCCUGGGCUACACACGUGCUACAAUGGUCGGUACAAAGGGUUGCCAAGCCGCGAGGUGGAGCUAAUCCCAUAAAACCGAAUCGUAGUCCGGAUCGCAGUCUGCAACUCGACUGCGUGAAGUCGGAAUCGCUAGUAAUCGUGAAUCAGAAUGUCACGGUGAAUACGUUCCCGGGCCUU
RNAcentral lists this ribosomal RNA (359 nucleotides) under uncultured Pseudomonas sp. Its description in RNAcentral is "bacterial SSU rRNA". It matches the Rfam family "Bacterial small subunit ribosomal RNA", at positions 1028 to 1382 of the family's 1533-position model. Lineage: Bacteria; Pseudomonadati; Pseudomonadota; Gammaproteobacteria; Pseudomonadales; Pseudomonadaceae. The record is from RNAcentral.